AUGGUCAGUGCGAGGUCAGUAGACAGGCAGUUGGAUGCGUGCUUCAGCAACCUCAUGGUGUCUAGCGGUGGUGGAAGGGGGCAGGCUGAAACUGGUGGCGCUAUGCCUAUGUUGUCAGGAUGGAAGGACCUUCCAAUGGAGCUGCUUAUGCGGAUCAUAUCAGUUGCUGGAGAUGAUCGAAUUGUCGUUGUGGCAUCCGGUGUUUGCACUGGCUGGCGCGACGCGUUAGGAUGGGGGGUCACUAAUCUUUCCCUCUCAUGGUGCCAGCAGAACAUGAAUAACUUAACAAUAUCAUUUGCUCACAAGUUCACAAAGCUUCAGGUUCUCACUCUUCGCCAAAUCAAACCUCAGCUUGAAGACAGUGCAGUAGAGGCUGUUGCCAACUACUGUUAUGAUCUACGUGAGUUAGACCUCAGCCGUAGUUUCCGGCUUAGUGACCGUUCAUUGUAUGCACUGGCCAACGGAUGUCCUCGGCUUACAAAACUGAACAUCAGUGGGUGUUCCAGUUUCAGUGACAGUGCCUUAAUCUACCUUAGUUGCCACUGUAAAAACCUGAAGAGCUUGAAUCUUUGUGGAUGUGGAAAGGCAGCCACUGAUGAAUCCUUGCAGGCCAUAGCCCAAAACUGUGGGCACCUGCAAACUUUAAACCUAGGUUGGUGUGACAAUGUCACAGAUGAGGGGGUUACCAGCUUGGCAUCAGGUUGCCCUGAUCUCAGGGCCCUGGAUUUGUGUGGCUGUGUUCUUAUAACAGACGAGAGUGUUAUUGCUCUAGCAAGCGGGUGCCCGUACCUGCGAUCUUUGGGCCUGUACUACUGCCAGAACAUCACCGACCGUGCCAUGUACUCCCUCGCAAACAGCUGCGUGAAGAGCAAACGAGGGAGCAGCUCGAAGGACGUCGAUGGGCUGGCAAACCUGAACAUCAGCCAGUGCACGGCCCUGACGCCCCCCGCGGUUCAGGCGGUGUGCGACUCCUUCCCGUCGCUCCACACCUGCCCGGAGAGGCACUCCCUCAUCAUCAGCGGCUGCCUCAGCCUGACUAACGUCCACUGUGCCUGCGGCCUCCAGCGCCACCGCGCCGGAAGCGCCCUGCAGGCCACCAGCCAUGCGUACUGA
This 1113-nucleotide ribosomal RNA is filed under the name Triticum aestivum (bread wheat). Its description in RNAcentral is "partial small subunit ribosomal RNA". Lineage: Eukaryota; Viridiplantae; Streptophyta; Magnoliopsida; Poales; Poaceae. The record is from RNAcentral.